UACGGAGGGUGCGAGCGUUGUCCGGAAUCAUUGGGCGUAAAGGGCGCGUAGGUGGCCCGGUCAGUCUUUGGUGAAAGCGCGGGGCUCAACCCUGCGUCGGCCAGGGAUACUGCCGCGGCUGGAGCACUGUAGAGGCAGGCGGAAUUCCGGGUGUAGCGGUGGAAUGCGUAGAGAUCCGGAAGAACACCGGUGGCGAAGGCGGCCUGCUGGGCAGUUGCUGACACUGAGGCGCGACAGCGUGGGGAGCGAUCCGG
RNAcentral lists this ribosomal RNA (254 nucleotides) under uncultured bacterium. RNAcentral describes it as "partial 16S ribosomal RNA". It matches the Rfam family "Bacterial small subunit ribosomal RNA", at positions 524 to 776 of the family's 1533-position model. The record is from RNAcentral.